AUGGACGUGAUAUCAACAUGGUUAUGGACUACCAUGUAUGUACAUAAAUAUGUAUUCCCUUUGGCGUCGAGCUGCCGCCACCGCGGACUAGGCCGGCGGCAGGAGGGGAUAUGGGAUGGACCUGGCGGUGAUAGGGUUGGGGUCCCCUGGCGUUGCCCAGGGGAGGCGACGCGAGGGGGUGAAGAGACGCAACUUGAAACAUGGAUGGCGGAUGCAAGGAACAAGUUCGCGCAACCAGAUGAGGAUACACCUUUUGGACGACACUUGAAGGAAGUUACUAAGUACCUGAACAUCGGAAUACCAAGCUUCACCGGAACCUACAACGCCACAGUACCAGAAGAGGAGCGCUGGAUGAUCCAAGUUCAAGUUCUAGGAAGGACGUUCACGCCAAUCACUGAGCCCACAGAGUUUUCCUUUGAUGCACCAAUCUGGAGUCUAGGAAAGAGCAUGGCAACCCACAUCACCAUGGGACGCAUUGGAGAAGUGUACCACAAUGGUCUCAAUGAUACUAUCUAUCAGAUUUGUGGGCGCCGAGACGAGCAAUGGGAGAUGAUCAGUACCAGGAAGGAUAGAUCUAUUGCAGCUUUCAUCCAGGAGUUAAACCAGCACAUUCGUCGCCAGGAAAACCAGAUGUGCGCAGACAUGAUAGAACUGAAGAAGGCAAAGACUAGGAUCAUGGAACUGGAGGAAGAACUCAAGGCUACACGCGAGGAUUAUAUGGAGGAAAUCGUCGCACUAGUGGAGGAGAAUGACGACCUGACAAAGAAGCUAGGAGUUUUCAUGGGAGACCCAGCACCAGGAGGAGAUGAUGACGAUUCUACUUGCCCGGAGAAUUACAUCAUCAUUGACGACACCGACUCGGACCCUAGUGAGGAUGAUUUGGAGGAUGAAGCCGGAGCAUAUAUCAUGGAGUCUUCGACUGAGCAAUUUUUCUAG
This 936-nucleotide ribosomal RNA is filed under the name Triticum aestivum (bread wheat). Its description in RNAcentral is "partial small subunit ribosomal RNA". Lineage: Eukaryota; Viridiplantae; Streptophyta; Magnoliopsida; Poales; Poaceae. The record is from RNAcentral.